GAAGGGUUAAAAUUACAUUUGAGUAUAUGUUGCACACAUAUGUUGCACUAUAGAAUGAAUGCAAGGGAAAAACAAUACAAUUUUUUUUCUUUCAAAUUUCUCAAUACAAAUCAUUCUAAAAAGAAUUGGAGAUAUGCUUUCUCAAUACAAAUUCUCAUGGUUAUUCAUACAAAGUACAACAAACAGGCUGAGGUACAACCUAAACUUUCAUCAAAUCAAACAAACUCGUAUUUCCGAUACCAAACAAAAGAUACAUGGUGUGUAGUCAAGCUUUCUAGAGAAAAGCUAACCCACAAAUUGUUACAGAAAAAGAUAGCGUGGUCUGCAAAUGGCAAUGACAUUUGA
Vicia faba (fava bean) is the source of this 345-nucleotide non-coding RNA. Lineage: Eukaryota; Viridiplantae; Streptophyta; Magnoliopsida; Fabales; Fabaceae. The record is from the annotation of a GenBank genome assembly.